Molecule: transfer RNA, 85 nt
Filed under: Felis catus (domestic cat)
Lineage: Eukaryota; Metazoa; Chordata; Mammalia; Carnivora; Felidae
Rfam family: tRNA
About the family: Transfer RNA (tRNA) molecules are approximately 80 nucleotides in length. Their secondary structure includes four short double-helical elements and three loops (D, anti-codon, and T loops).
Source: Rfam by way of RNAcentral
GCCUGGGUGGCUCAGUUGGUUAAGUGUCCGACUUUGGCUCAGGUUAUGAUCUCUUGGCUUGUGGGUUCAAGCCCCAUCUUGGGCU